GCUGCCUUAGCUCAGUCGGUAGAGUAGAGGACUUUUAAUCCUCGGGUCGGGGGUUCGAGCCCCCCAGGCAGCG
Capsaspora owczarzaki ATCC 30864 is the source of this 73-nucleotide transfer RNA. It matches the Rfam family "tRNA". Rfam says of the family: Transfer RNA (tRNA) molecules are approximately 80 nucleotides in length. Their secondary structure includes four short double-helical elements and three loops (D, anti-codon, and T loops). Further hydrogen bonds mediate the characteristic L-shaped molecular structure. tRNAs have two regions of fundamental functional importance: the anti-codon, which is responsible for specific mRNA codon recognition, and the 3' end, to which the tRNAs corresponding amino acid is attached (by aminoacyl-tRNA synthetases). tRNAs cope with the degeneracy of the genetic code in two manners: having more than one tRNA (with a specific anti-codon) for a particular amino acid; and 'wobble' base-pairing, i.e. permitting non-standard base-pairing at the 3rd anti-codon position. Lineage: Eukaryota; Filasterea; Ministeriida; Capsasporidae. The record is from Rfam.